AUCUCAUUGGCUCAGUUGGUUAGAGUGUUCGCUUCACAUUAAAAGACAGGUCACCCGAUCUGGUGAUCGCGAAAGGUCCCCGGUUCGAUCCCGGGAUGGGAUA
Non-coding RNA from Cryptococcus deneoformans JEC21, 103 nucleotides. The record is from the annotation of a RefSeq genome assembly. Lineage: Eukaryota; Fungi; Basidiomycota; Tremellomycetes; Tremellales; Cryptococcaceae.